UGGACUCACUACUGUAAAUCGCUCUGGAUAAGAGCGUCUGCUAAAUGACAAAUG
Molecule: non-coding RNA, 54 nt
Organism: Salmo salar (Atlantic salmon)
Lineage: Eukaryota; Metazoa; Chordata; Actinopteri; Salmoniformes; Salmonidae
Source: Rfam